GUGCGCUCGCGUGCGUACUUGGGGUAACGAAACCCGGCGCGGAAAGCGCCAAGGAAAACCGAAAUGAAGCGACCGUCCCCCACUCGUGCCCCGUUCGCGGUGAGCGCGGGUGGCGGGAGGUACGUCUCUUGAAAGUCAAAACGACUCUCGGCAACGGAUAUCUCGGCUCUCGCAUCGAUGAAGAACGUAGCGAAAUGCGAUACUUGGUGUGAAUUGCAGAAUCCCGUGAACCAUCGAGUCUUUGAACGCAAGUUGCGCCCGAAGCCUUCGGGCCGAGGGCACGCCUGCCUGGGCGUCAAACAUCGCGUCGCCCCCUCCCCCGCUCCCUUGGAGCGUGCGCGGUAGGAGGCCGGACAUUGGCCCCCCGUGCGUGUUGGCGUGCGGCCGGCCCAAAUGCGAUCCCCCGGCGAUGCACGUCGCGACCAGUGGUGGUUGAAUGCUCAACUCAUGUGCUGUCCGUCGUGUUCCACGGCAUCGUCCGGUCGGGCAUCUCUAACGACCCUAGAUGCGCCAUUGGCGCUUCCGACCGCGACCCCAGGUCAGGCGGGAUUACCCG
Molecule: ribosomal RNA, 556 nt
Filed under: Leandriella oblonga
Lineage: Eukaryota; Viridiplantae; Streptophyta; Magnoliopsida; Lamiales; Acanthaceae
Description: eukaryotic LSU rRNA
Rfam family: 5.8S ribosomal RNA (bases 143-298)
Source: RNAcentral